UUGUGCUGUUGUUGUGCCCAUAAGCAGGUAUUGCCCUCUUUGGAUGCCCACCAUUCCAGGGUUUAUCACCCAAAGGUAUGUACACCUCCUCAGUGGUACCUUUUGGCCUUUUAUCUGCCACCAAUUUCAUGGUUCCCAAAGCUGAAUGAAAGUAUAAGGCUAAAUAAGUAGCAUAUUUGGCUCCUCAACUACAACUUUGUACCAAGCACCAAAAUAUGAUCCAGCACAUAUUCUCCAUAUAACCUAUACUUGCCCUAUCAUAAACAUUGAUAACAUCACAGUUGAAGCCUUUCAAAGCAGGGGAAAUUCAUAUAAAGAUUGGUAGAAAAUAUGCCAAUCUACCGGACCGGAAAGCUGAAAAGCAACAUUAAAAGAGAGCUGCAAUAAAACUAGUUCCAAACUGCUGCAGUAUAUAUAUCAUUUGAUUCAUUUAACUCAUACCUCAAAGUCAAAAGCAAGAGAGUCGAUAUAUAGUGAGUCACUUAGUCACUGCUAUUUUUGGGAACACUGAGGCUGGAAGUGAAAACCCCAAAUUGCAGCUCAGUGAACUCUGUUGUGUUUAUGUUAAAUUGAGCUCUUUAAUGCCAUGUUGUAACGUGUACCGCAUCCCUCCAUUCAUCCUGCAAGGAUCAAUACCAUGUCUACAGUGAUGACGAAAUCUGUUGGCACUGAUAUCCUUAUGCAAUAACAGAAAUCUAUCUACAAAGAUCAACAAACUAUCACGUAAAAGACUUGUUCUUCUGAAACACCAUUGGUUAAUAGUACAACGAAAUCUCAAAUACUUUUAACUAAAAUCCCAUUCCCAUAUCCCAAUUUCAUAGCAACUGCUUAGAAAUUAGAAGAUGCAGAUGAAAACAGAACAUUCAAUUUGCUGAAUAAAUGAUGCAGAGAAUUGACUAACCGCUUUACAACAUCAAAUAAGCUGAAGCAAACCAGUUGAAGGUCUCCUCUAUUUUUCGCCAGUUUAGCCUUCAAUGCCUGCAAAAAAGUAAAUACAAAAUAUAUAACACCGAUUUCUAUUAUCGUGUUGUUCAUGAGGACAAUCAGAUAUAUAUAAAGAAAAGGUAUGAAAUUGAUAAAUGUUUAAAAUGCGUUUCGCACCUGUGGUUUGAGUGUGGAGAAAUCGAUGCUAGAUUUUGCUGCUUAAAUUUCAAUGUAAUUCCCUCGGGUUGACUAUUUCACCAUCAAUUUGAGCAAAAGGUAUGUGGGCAAUCUUGGACCACUCUCGUCCUUUACCCCUACUGCACCCUUUUUCUAGCAACGGGCAAUCAUGAAUUGAUAGACGCUCAAGCGAGAGAAGCAUAUCUUUUUCCGGAAGAGAUUUGAGCUUAGGACAAUCAUCGACUCGCAAUUUUUGAAGAGAGGUCAGGUAUUGAAAGCCCUUGGAGCACAUGAAUUCCAAAUUCUCAAAAUUGUCAAUGGAAAUAGAUGUGAGAGAAGGAGGCAGCGUCAUUCCUAUCCCUUCUUCUGGAAACGACACCACAUUUGAGCAUCCUUCACCGUUGAUUUUGAGUUUCUGAAGAGAGGUGAGUCUGUUAAAUCCCCAUUGAACAAGUGAUGUAUAAAUUUUGGGUGCGUUUGAGAUUGCAAGUGAUGUGAGGUUGGCAGGGAAACCCUCUUCUGGAAAGAAGUCAACCGAACAAUAAGACACCUUUAAUUCUCGAAGGGAGGUGAAGUUGUUGAUCCACUUGGGAAGGACUCCAAAAUUUUCACAAUCCUCAAUUGCGAAAACUCUGAGAUUUGUGGUGGGCAACCCACUUUCUUCAAAUGAAACCAGAUUUGGACACCAACAUAAUUGAAUCUCCUGAAGAUGGCUGAGCUUGUCCAAUCCCCGCGAUAAUGAUUUAAUUUUUCCAGCACCAUUAAUACGAAUGAUUUCGAGAUCAGUGGUUUCAAGGAAGUCUUGGGCUAUGCAUUCCAACACUGGACAAUCCCAAAUUAAUAGCUGUUUAAGCAUUACGGGUAACUUGGCGUUUAAAAAUAACCUACUUAGCUUUGAACAACGGUAAAUAUUAAGACGUUGAAGCCGAUUGCAUAUAUCGCCCCUUGAUGAUAACCAUAUUAGAGAUGGACAGCACCUUAUUUCCAAACGCUCAAGAAGACAAGUGUUGCUACUCAUACUCUUAUUAUUAUUUUCUUUUUCAUCAACCAAAUAUUGCAAAUUCCUGCAAUUCCGAAUCCACAGCUCUUUUAAAGCAGGCGGAAAGUUACUCUCUGCAAAACAAACCAAGCCUGGACAUUUUUGAAGUUGCAUUCUUGUAAUCAAUGGGAAAGCAUGUAAGGCUUCUGGUAGUCUGAGCCUUUCACAAUUAUAUAUUAGAAGAGAUUCAACACCUGGAAUCUUGUCAAGUUGCAAUCUCUCCUCUGUUUCCAAACAGACCAAUUGGGGACAACCCGCAAUCGUAAUAAAACGAUGCCCGACUAAUCUUAACCCAAUUUGCGAUAAAGAUCCCAGCUCCUUCCAACCAGAUAUCUUGAAUGUUUCGGAGUUUGCAAAUCUCAACAUUAUCCUCUCUGCUGAAAUAUUAAAAUUUGAAAUAUUUGAAACAAACACAUCUUUCAAGGAGGUAACCUUCUGUACAGACAAAGAACCUUCAUCCACCAAUUCUUCACACCCUUCAACCCAUAUUUUACGCAGCAAGGGAAAACAAGAAAUUGAAACUACCAGUCUCUUACACUCAUAGAUUUCAAGUGUCUGCAAGGAUUGAAGGAUGGUUGGCAACCUUCCCAACAAUAGAGGACAUCUUUUAAUUGAAAGCUUACGAAGGCUGGGAAAUUUCGAAACUUGCUCAUCGUCUUCACAUAGGUUCCACUCCUCCCAAUUCAGCAUAUUGUCAAAACACAGAGACUCUAGUGAUGCAAAAGCAUUUGAUUGAUUUUCUCCAAACAACUCAGCACCAAUCUUGUGUACUUGAUCCAAACCACUAAUUGAAAGAUCUUUUAACCACAACAACCUUCCAAUCGAUGGUAGAGAUUUGCAAUUUUUACAAUUGCGAAGCUCCAAUGACAACAUAUUUUCGAAGGAAGAAUCUGCAAUCCAAGUAGAGAAUUUCGCACCACCAUAAUUCUGAAUGACGAGUUGCUCAAGCUUUUUUGGAGGACGAAGAGAGUCCAACACCCAUUCUUCAACUUCUUUAUUCCUUGAAGCCUUUUCAAAUUUUUCACUCCAAUGCAAUACCAAUCGACGAAUUCCCCGCUUCUCAUUUAACUUGGUUUCCCCUGCAUCUUCACCAUUAACAUUCUCCAACCCAGAAAGACGGAAAUCACCUUUGAGGUUUGACAAAUAUUUCAAACCUCUAAUAUAACAACCAUCACCUUCCCCUAUUAUAAAAUCAGUUAACCUUUGAAGUUUCGUUAGCUUAUCAAUUCUAAAAGGAAUCCUUUCUAUUGAGUCCGCACCUCUGAUAUCAAGAUAAUGCAAGUUGACAAGAUUUCCCAUCUUUGAAGGUAACCUUUGAAGCCAGUAACACCCUCUUAAUAAUAAAGUUUCCAAAUGGUAAAGAGUGCACAAAGAAUCAGGUAAGCAUUUGAUAUGGGUGUUGGAAAAAUUUAAGUAGCGAAGAUGUUUUAAAUUUUCAAAAACAUCAGGCAACUCAGUGAUCCAAUACCCACUCAAAGAAAGCAUCCUUAAGUAGCCAAGUCUUGGUAGCAAAUCAACCAAAACAACAUUAGUUAAAAAAGGCCCCCGAUAAUCACUAGAAAACAUUAAGGGUAAAAAAGUACGUAAAGAAUUCACUUGAUCAAAUGCUUCAAACUUCUUCACUGUGUCAUAUGUUCCAGCAAUAUAAGAAGAAUGUCGAGUGCGAUUUGAGAACUUCCAUUUCUUAUCACCCUCUAAUUUUGAGCAUAUUUCCCCUGCAACUACUUGAGCUAAAUCAUUGAUUAGGUCAUGCAUUACGAAUCGGGACUUAUCUUUACUGGAUGUCUGAAAAAAUGACCUGGACACUAGAUCUUGAAAAUAUUGAUUUCCGAGAUCUUUAAUUUGAGGCAUAGCUUUUUGUUGCAAGAGACCUUCUGCUCCCCAUAACAAGAUAAUUUCUUCUUCCUCAAAUUCAUAACCUUUAGGAAGUAUGGAGCAAUAUGCAAAACAUCGUUUCAAGUAUGACGGAAGAUGAUGGUAGCUUAAUCGCAAAGCUGGAAUUAUGCCACACUGCUCUUCUGGUAAGUUCCAUAUCUCACUCUCGUAUAUUCUUUCCCAUCCUGCAUAGUCUUUAACUGUGCGUAGCAAGCUUCCGAUGGCUUUUGCAGCCAAAGGUAAGCCACUGCACCUUCUAACAAUUUUCUCCCCAAUUUCUUUAAACUGGAGAUCUCUAUCGAAAUUUCUUUCUUUUAAUGCAUGCUGUGUAAAUAUGGAUAAACAAUCAUCAUCCGAGAGUUUAUCCAAAUGAAAAGCUUUGAGCGGAUCCACAAUAGAUGAAACAAUUUGAAGACGAGUGGUUACAAUGAUAUGGGUCCCUGCUCCAAACGGAGACCGUAAGAUGGUCCAAUCAUUAUAAUUCUCGUUCCAAAUGUCAUCUAAAACAAGCAAGAAUCUUUUCCCAGACAACUUCUCCUUCAACUUAACUUGAAGUAAAUUCAAGUCAUUCUCGUCACGAGAGUCAGGAUCGAUGGAUUUUAAAAUUGUCCUGGUUAUAUUAACUGCGUUAAAUUUAUCAGAAACGCAUACCCAGGCCUUGUGGUGAAAAGACUGGUUGAUGGUGGCAUCAUUGUAAACAAGCUGAGCAAGAGUUGUUUUACCCAUCCCUCCCAUGCCGACGAUGGAAAGGACUGAAACUCCGUUGGAGUUAUCACCUUUGAGAAACUCAAUCAUUUCUGUCUUCUCCUUGUGUCUGCCAACAUAAUCCACAACUCCAUCCAGUACGGAAGUUGGUUGCAGCCUAGGUUGCUUUCCCUUGGGGGUUGGAGCUUGAGACAAGAUCUCACUCAACCCCAAACUACUUCUUCGAGUAGUCAAACUAUUCAGUCUAGCAGUGAUCUCUUUCACCUUUGGAAUCAUGGAAUUCUGAAACAGGAAAGAAGUGGGAGGGAAAAUACUACGAAUAAUCCUUUCAGGAAUGAAUUUCCGUAUCUUACUAGGUCUGGCUUGAGCUUGAGUGUCUUGGAGAUUGAGGCGUAACUCUUCAUAAGCGAACUCGUCCAAGAUGUCAUCCACAUCGUAUGCCAAGUCCUGGAGAUCCUCCAACCAUUUCUUCACACCCAUGUUCUUGAUCUGCUUCCCCUCUGCAUCGUCCAACACUGCUUGGAUAUCAGGCAAUAUGGACUGCCACUGCUUGAGCUGCUGGUGGAGUUGGUAGUGAUCAGCAACAAAGUUGAGUGCAGAGUCAAGCGAUUUGCCCACCAACAGGUCCAGGAACCCAGAAAGAGCAGCCUCUCCAAUGACAGACAUGGUGGAAUUGUGAGAAAUAAGGGGACAAGAGAAAUGAGCAAAGCCAAAAUGGAAAGUCAGGGAACAAAAAAGAAAGAAAGGGAAAUGGAAUCUGCAAAAUUAGAGAAAGUUGAAGAAAUUGGCACAGUAUCCUUGAAGCAUGUCAUUUAAUAAUUCAGACUCUGAAGCAAUGAGUUGGAAGUCUUUUCGUGUUAAUGGGGAAGGAAAAAUGGAAAUGAUGGGACCUUUGCAUUUGAAUUUUGAUGCUCUUCUUUUCUCUUGCUUUUGGUCAUUAUCCUAAAUAUGUAAUUUAAUUAAACAUCAAAAUAUUAUAUUUCUCACAACUAUAUCGCCAAAAUAUAGCAAACACCAAGACCAUAUUUGGUUCGCUGUAAUAGAAUAGAGGCGUAAUGGAAUAGAGACGUAAUAGGUAAUUCUUUUGUUUGGUUGAGUGGAAUGGAAUAGAGGCAUAAUGGUAUUCUUGUGUUUGGUUGAAUGGAAUAGAGGUGUAAUAGCAUAAGGAAAAAAGCUAAAAUGACUAGAAUACCCUUAACAGAAUUUUUGUAAGUAAAUGAUUAUUGUUAUUGUUAUUAAAUUUUAAUAAGAUUAUUAAUAUAAAUAAUAAAUAAUUUAAUCAUAUUUUAACAUGGUUGUUAUUAAAUAUAAUUUAAUAAAAAUAUAUAAUUUAAUAAAAUUGUUAAUAAAUAUUCUUAUAUGAAUUUACUAAAAUCAUAAUAUAUAAUAUUAUAAAAUAUAAUUUAAAAUAAUUAUUAGUAAAUAUCAUUUAAUAAUAAUAUAUAAUUUAAUAAAAUUCUUAUUUUUAUAUGAAUUUACUAAAAUCAUAAUAUAUAAUACUAUAAAAUAUAAUUUAAAAUAAUUAUUAGUAAAUAUAAUUUAAUAAUAAUAUAUAAUUUAAUAAAAUUCUUAUUCUUAUAUGAAUUUAUUAAAAUCAUAAUAUAUAAUACUAUAAAAUAUAAUUUAAAUAAUUAUUAUUAAAUAUAAUUUAUAAUCUACUUUAUUAUUUUUAAACUGCAAUACAUAUUUAAUGUGGUAAAAUAUCAUUUGUGGAACAAAUAAUUUAAUUAUUCUACAAUAAAAAAAUAUUAGCAGUAAUAAAUAACUUUAGAAUUAUAUUUUGCAUAAACAUAAUUUUCACAUAUUAACAAACUGUUAAAUGAAAUUCAUGAAAUUCUAUAUCACAAUCCAUAUGUUAUACAGUUUUGCCACAUCAAAAAGUUAAAACAUUGUAAUAACAUAUCAUCCCAAAUAUUACAAACAGAAAAAGUUACGAAAAUGUCAUCAACAAAACCAUAAUUUUUAAUGGUCAGCAAGAAUUCUUCUGACCCAUUCCAACCGUACAUUCAGAAGGUAAACUAAAGAAAACGAGCAUUUGAGUUGGAUGAUCUGUAAUUUUACUCAAUGCUCGAAACCGCUCAUCCACAGUUAAACCUUCUAUUUCACAUAAGGUUGGAUAUAAAUUUGUAGCUUUUUCUUGGAUGGUAUGGAAUUCUUCUGACCUUUGUUGAACUACCACAUCAGAGGCAAUACUCCUACUGAUUUGUUCGCCAAUGGCCCGCAUGUUAUCAGUCAAUAAAGUGGCAGCUUCAUUAACUGAAGAAGAAAAAUGACCACUUGCAUCAGAAUUAUUUUUUUUCCUCUUUGAAGAUGAAGAACCCCUUUGGUUUCUAUCUGGUUGCGGCUCCGUAGCAGAAACAUCCAUGUCCUCCAAAGAGACAUUAUCAUCGCAGUCAUAGUAUUCGUUUCUUUCUUCAUUAAUAUCUGCAGUAGGUACAUCCUUAGCAUUUAUUUCUUCAAGAACGUCAGCGGCUGUUUGAGCGUCUUUCCCAGUCGCUCGAUCUUUUGCGUAUAUGGCAGUCAGUUGGUCGUAGUAAGGGAAACUACGAUGUCUGAACUGACCGGCUUCUUUAUGACUCUAUAAAAAAGAGGAAAUCAUAUUAGUUAUAAGUUUGGUAAAAAUAAGAUAAUAAAGACUUGAACUCAUUCUUACCUUUAAAUAAGAGUCCCAAACCGCAUCCUCAGCAACAACGACCUGCCUAUGGUCGUCCCAACCAAAACCGCUAUUGUUUUGGCCAUUAAACAUGUCAUACACGAUUGACCAAUCCCUUUUUAGUAACCUAAUCCUUGACUCGAUAUUAGGUCUAGCCUUCAACAUUGCAUUAGGUAAAGUCUUUUCUAACAUUUUUUCCAACUCGUUUAAGUAACCGGCUUUGAACCCCGUAUCAGUGUUAAAUGUUCCAACAUUGUGCAAGUCCACCAUGCAGGAAACCAAUGCUGCAGCUUCUUCUGAAACCCAUUUUCUUUUGGUUCCUCGAGAUGAUUGGGAAGGAACAUUUGAUUCUGAAACACCUGACAUAAUUAUCUUAAGAAAAAAAAUUAAAAUUAAGUUUAAUAUCAUGAAUCAAAAGGUGAACACUUUAUAAAAUUAAAAUUGAGUUCAAUAUCAUGAAUCAAAAACUCAACACUGUAUAAAAUUAUAACACAUGAUGAAUGAAAAGAAAUCAAACUAUAAUUCAACAAGUUUAGUACAAUACAAAAAACACAAAAACACCACCAAAGUUCCAUCCUCCAUAAAUCUAACUAAUUUCUAGAUGCUUGCCAUUCAUCAAACAUUUGGUUGGCUAGUUCCAUCUCCAAGUAGCCCAAGCAUCCGAUGGAUGAAUAUUGACGAUAUGAGGUUUAUCGUCAUCUACCACAUCACUAGGUAAUCCUUCUCCCACCUCCGCUUCAAUAGGAUCAAUACUCAUAUAGGUUCGAAUAAAAUUAUGGAGCAAACAACAUGCAUUAAUGAUUCUAUUGUGCACCCUUACAGGAUAGAAUGAUGGACUCCUAAGUAUUCCCCAUCUAAGUUUUAAUAACCCAAAGCAUCUUUCAAUAACAUUACGUGCUGAGGCAUGUUUCAUAUUAAAAAAUUCUUGCAGAGUACUUGGCUGAUAACCCUGACGCCACUCAUUCAAAUGAUAUCAUUGUCCUCUAAAAGGUGCAAGAAAUCCCUCACAAUUUGUGUAUCCAGCAUCAACUAGAUAAUAACAACCUAUUAAAAAAAUUUAAAAAUGAUUAAUUCCCCAAAAAAAAUUGAUCUUAAUGAAUAAUUCAAAGUCCUCUAACUAUCCACUUUACCAUGAGGAACUUUUAGUCCAUGUCUCCUACUAAUGGCAUCUCGAAGAACUCGCCCAUCAGCAACAGAACCUUCCCAACCAGGAAGAACAUAAACAAAUUGUAUUUUAGGUGUACAAACACCUAGAACAUUUGUUGCUAUGUCACCUUUUCGCGUUCGAUAUCUAGGUUUAUCAACCCUUGGAACCCUAAUCUUGAUGUGGGUUCCAUCAAGAGAACCUAAGCAAUUCUAUAUGACAUGUUAUAAAACCUUGAGUUAGGAUACUAAAUUUAAAUCUAAAUCAACUAAAUUAUGUACAAGCUAUAUAUAAAACUCAGUCCAAUACCUUAAACCAUUUCCACCUUCUGUCUGAAGAAUUAGCUGUAAUUGGCUCCGCUUUUUAAAUAACACAUCUUGUAAGCGUAUGACAGCAUUUAAAACACUAUGAAAUGAUCUGCUAACAGUUUCCCCGGACCUAUUGAAGUGAUGCUUGAUAACUCGAUUUUUAAGGUGAUAGGAAAUGAUAUGUAAAAACAUUGCUACUUGCUCAUCAACAAGCAUGUGCCUUGACGACUUCAAUCCCCCUAACGUUUGUAAUAUCUCACAUAGUUUGAAAAAGGAAAAUCUAUUCAUCCUAACUUGUUCAAUACAGGUCUCAUCACUAGCAUAUACAAGCCUUUUCACAUAAUCCCGUUGUGCAUAAAAAUCUAAAAUAUAGGACCUAAUCAUUGGUCUAUAAGUAUGUAGGCUAUUGAUGGCACCCAAUGUAAGUAAAAACCAACUCGCAAUUUUACAUAUUUCCAACCAUAUUGUCAAUGCAAUUCCAAUUCUUUUACGCCUCACACUUUGUGCAAUUAAAGGCAGACGAGCCAUUACUGCAAGAUAUUAAUGUGUUCCAUAUUGUCAAAUCGUAGUAAAAUGGUCACAUUUCUCCAAUCAUAAUUUCAAUAACAGUAAACUAAAAUUAAAUAAUUUAAUUGCCAAAGAACUUACAGUGAUUGUGUGAAAAGAAGACGCUGAAUUGUAGGUGGAGGAAGCAAUCAAACAAGCCGCUUCAAUAGGAAGCAAUAUCACACUAUCAAAGAAAAAUGAACAAUACUAGUUUAAAAUCUUAACCGUAUUUUUUGACAACAAUGUUACAAAUUUAACAUUAACAAACCACAUUUUUCUUUAAAGAAUUUUUAGAAGCACUUUCAAUCAUAAUAACAAUGAAUACUUGUUUUCUUUAAACAAUUUUUACAAGCACUUUCAAUCAUAAUAACAAUGAAUAUUUGUUUUUUAAUCAAGUUGUUUACUUGAUUAUAUCUAAUGAUCAAAUUUUAAUAUAUCCAAUAAUUGUUUUUUAAUCAAGUUGUUUACUUGAUUAUAUCUAAUGAUCCAAUUUUAAUAUGUUAUAAAUAUUUGUUUUUUAAUCAAGUUGUUUACUUGAUUAUAUCUAAUGAUCCAAUUUUUAUUUUAUUUUAUUUACUCAUGAUUGGAUUAGGUUUAAUUUAUAAUGGUUGAAAAGUCGAUAUAUAUGUAAUAUUAUUAAAAUAAUAUUUUUAAUUUUGUUGGAUAUAAAAAUAUUUUUAAUUAAUGCGUUGUAUAUGAAUAUACACAUUUAAUUAAUGUGUUGUAUAUGAAUAUACAUUAGUGCAAGAAAUCCUAUAAUUUCGUACAGGUCUCGUAAUUGCUCGAUUAAAAUUUUCGAACUACCUCAACUUAAGAAAUUCGAUCCCAAAUUCAAAUUUUUCAAUACCAAUAAAAAUCAACUUAUUACAUCACCACUUGCAAAAUAUAAUUAUAAAAACAUUACUAUGGAGUAAGCCAUAAAAAAAAACAGUCCAAUUUACUGGAAUUGCAACUAUAAAAAACCUCUUGAAUUGCAACUAUAAAAUACCUCUUGAAUUGCAACUAGAGCUUCAGCUUGCCAACGAUUUAUGUCUGGAGCAAAUCGGUAGCUAACAGUCCAAUACGUACAAAAGUUCACAUAGAACAUCAAUUUAUUGGAACAACAGUGGUCAGAUACACCAGGCGCAAGAAAUUUAACAAGGGUGCUAAUAUACAAAAGAAUUUACACUUCUAAGCAUUAGAAAUCAAAUUAAAAUCAACUAGUAUUAAAAUAAUUAUCACAAUAUUUGUAAAAUUUAUAAUUAUAACAAGUGGCAAAUUAUUAUUUUGUCAAUUAAAGGAGCACAAUCCUUAACUGUCAGCCUCCUGGUCACUAAAGGAACACCAAGGUACCUAAUAGGCAGCCUUCCCAUGUUAAUCCCAAUAAUUCUAAGAAUAUCCUCCAUUUCCUCUCAAGAAUCCCAGAAGCAAAAAUUUCAGUCUUUGCAGGGUUAGGCUUUAAACUAGAAAAACAAAUUUAGCAUCACAUCAGGUAAGUGCUUUGUAAGUCAUUUAACCAAAAUCCUAGUGAUACACUCACAAAAAAGCAGAGCAGUAUGAGAUUGGCCGAAACUUCCUCAUAUGACCAGGAUUUUUAACCUUGGGAACUAAUACAAUUGUGGUUGUAUUAAAAGCAGGCAACAACUUAGAGUAAUUAAAAAAACAACACUGCUCUAAUCACAUCAGCGCCUACGAUAUGCCAUGCAACUUUGAAAAAAUCCCAGGCCAAUGUUUGCAUAGUUGGGUGUUGUGAAGGUUCCGGCAAUGCGGUUAGAUGCAAAACUCCACAUGCUGAUAGGAUGAACACAGAUGAUUACAUAGACAACAUCAUUCUUGUAGCAGACACAGAACCUAAAUAAUUACAACAUGUCAUAUAAAAUAGCGCAGUUACCAAAAGGCAACCUAGGCACUUGAGGUAGACAUACUUCAGGAAGCAUUUCCAUGUUUGGUAUGCAGCUAAUGUUUGUUUACCAAUCUAGCAGUCCAUUUUGAAUUAACCCUACCAUUAAUACACAUGUAUAUUACACACUAAAAGUCAAAAGGAGAAGAGUAAUAAGAUUUCCUCAUGUAUAUAUUACACACUAAAACCAUGUCGGAUAUAUGCUUAUAUCAAAGCACUCACACAAAGUAACAUAGAAGAAGGUUACUUGACAUAAAUAGAAUGUCCUAAAAACCCUCUGAUUGAUGCAAACUUACCUCUUUUCAACUUUCAAGGUAUUGACACUAGGUUUAUGAAAAUUUCCCUUGACAGACGAUUUGAUUUCAAUUUCAACAUAUUCCAAGCCAAGACAAGCUAAAAUAAGUUAUCAUACAAUUUCGUUUCAUAUCAAUGUUAUAAAUAAAUACCCUAUCCUUAAGAAUGACAAAGCAUCUUAAAUCAGAAAAUUUCAUUCUAAAACUGCUAUUGAUAAUUUAUAUAUAAAAGAGCCAAAAUCACCUAGAAGUUGAAUCACUAGUAGAUAUAAGGAAGAAAAUGAAAGUACCUAGAAAAGAAAGCACAAACAUAAAUCCCAGAAAGAAACAAAAAUUGAAACGAAAAGAAAAGGUAAACAAUUCGGAAACAAACCAGCAAUGAACUGAAACAAAACUUAACCAAUUAGAGGGUAUGAUCUUUACAAUUAAAAGCAUCUUACAGAGCAUCGGGAAGAAGAAGACGAAGAGUUCUCCUUGUCUCUUUUCUAUACGCUUUUAACUGUAUUUUCCCCGACUCUGGGAUUUUUUUGAUUUGUCUGCUGAAAUUGAAAAAAAAGGAUCAAGAAUCAAGCAUGUUGGUCAUGGGAACAAAUUUAAUAACACUAAUCUAUUUGAGAGAAUUGUUAAAACCCCUUACAUUCCAAAAAAGGAUUAACUAAAUCUUCUUCCAGUUCACAUUGAACAAUCUGUUCCAAUUCACAUUCAUCAUUCAAUAUCUCAAACCUAUUUUCAGAACCAGAAAUAACAGCUUUCCCUUUACCCUUCGAAGAUUUCCUCUUAACCAUACUUGAAGCACUCCCCUGUAACUCAUUCGCAGCCAUUACAACUUCUAAUUUUUUAUCAAAUGAAUUAAAGUUUCAUUUUAGGAAUAUAUUAAAUCUUUGAUCACGAAAAUUGGGAUUCAUGAUUCAAUUCAACUAGUUUAAGCCCUAGUUUUCAGAAACCUUAGAUGCCAAUUUUUAACGAUAGUUACAUGAUUCAACUAAUUUGAUGAAUCAAGUCUUACUAAAACCUCAUUUUAAAGGUGAAUGCAUGAUUCAAUUUCUAGAAAUGUUGAAUCUUUCAUCAUAGACAUAAAAGGGAAAACACGUUGAAAGAAAAAUGUUAGGGCAGACAAUGUUUACCUUGAUUGAAUUGGAAAGGUUUUCUUGAGGGUUUCUUUGGAGAUACUUGUUGGGAUUUGAAGAACAGAAGUCUAUUUUUGGACUUCCCUACUCACUGCAUUUGAAGAACAGAAUGGUGCGUUUGGUUCGACAAAACAAUCAAAUGAAAGUGAACCGGGAGCGGUGGAGGUCACUUUGCUGGCAGCUUCUAUUUGAUGUUGGGAGGGAGAGUUCUGGAGGUGGAUUUUGGCUUGGGAAGAUGAGGGUAAAACAGGGCAUAGAAAUUCUAAGAAUGCUAAACGGAAGCUAAACUGAACUUUGGGCAGGGAAUAGAAAUUGGUGAGUAAGGAGGAAUACGUACGCAAUGUAAUAGGCGCGUAAUGGGCAUUAGAGCGAACCAAAUGCUGGAAUAAGUGGGGCCCACCGAUUCGGCGCGUAAUGGUAUACCCAUUACGUCGAACCAAACAAAGUGCAAUACUCAAAAUUUUUGAAUCACAAAUAUUUACAGUAUUUAGCAUAUAGAAAACAAAAUUCUGAAAUUAAAUAAUAAUUUUUAUGAUUUUACAAUUUUAAUAGUUUAUAUCUUUAUAAAAUUUAAAAGAUUAAAUUAGAUUUUUAUCAUAUUUAAGGGAGUAAAGUGUAAUUUUAUAUUUAUUAAUUUAAAAUUUUAAAAUAUUUAAAGAGCUUAAAUGAAAAAUUUUUUAUUUUAGAGGACCAUGCCAACCCCUAGCUACGCCCGAGAUUGAUUGUAGCUAUAUUGUUAAUUGAUUUACUAUUUUACUAUUUAUACUAUUAUUUAAGCUUAUGACUAGUUGAUGUCACGAGUUAAUCAAGUACCAACUUGGUUAAAGAAAAUAUGAAAAUGUCACUCUAGUCUUUUUAUUAUAAAAAAAUAAAAAUAUGUGCAUAUAAUGGGAUUUUGAACCCAUAUCAAUUACAUUAAUAAAAUUAUUAAUUUACCACUCAACUAAAACUUUAAUAUUUUUAUACAUUUUUAUUUUAUUGUGCACACUUUAUUGUUAAUUAAUUUCAAACAUUAUGCUUUAAUUAUUUAUUGUAUGUUAUAUUCAAACGCACACUUAUAUUCUAAAUAUAUGAUUCCCAAACAUACGUGUGUGAUAAGUAUACUAAUUGUAACCUAUCUUACUAAUUGUUGUACUAAUUUAUGAUUUGCUUUCUUACUAGCUAGAUCUGUUAGCCAAACUCAAAUUACCUUCCUUUUAGAUCAAUUAAUUGACUUAAACCUAACUCAAUUACAUUUCUUUCUAGAGUGAUUAACCAAAAUAAUCGACCGAACCAAUUAAACGAGAUUGUUUCUAUUAUUAUAUUUAUGAAAUCAUGAUCGUUUAGUUAUUGGUAUUUUUUGUUGGGGUUAGGUUAAUUUAAUUUUCAAUAUUUCUAAACUAAAAUUUACAUCUAGAUUUGAUGAUGAUUGCUUGUCCACAGUUCAUGGGUUUCAAUUAUACCAACCUAUUCAAUCUUCUUUUUUCCCUAAUGCAUGUGAGAUCUCUUUUUCUUUUCCUUAGCAAAGUAUUUAGGGUCUCUCUUUUUUGGUCAAAGUAAUCUUUAAAUUUAAUAAAAUAAUUUAAAAACCCUAAUCACUUCUCCAUAAUUGAUGGAACUUACAAGUAUAAUUAACAAAAAAAAAAUACUGUUAUAAAUAAUUUAUGUCUCACCAAUUAUAACUAUAGAAUCAACUUAGUAUAGAAUACAAAAAGACUAAAAUCUAAUUAAAUACAAACAAAUAACAUUAAGAGUGAAAUAUAGGAAAGAACCCACACAUGAUAUUUACGUAUUAUGAAACUCAAACUUGGGCUCUCGAGUCCCAACAAAUCUCAUUGGCUCAUAAGCAAAUAUUUUAAUGUAUAACUAAAUUCAUUACUGAAUCAGUACUCUAGAAAUUAGUUAUUCUUAAGUUGAAAGAUUUGUAUGUAUAACAAAUUUAUAUAGUUUUAGAGAAGAAGAUGGAAGAUGGCCAAAUAGAAAGGACCAUUGGAAGGAUGAUAGUGAAGUUCCAGUUCCUACUCAGUUUCUGGUAUUAAAGAUGAUGGACAAUGUGGAAGGGAAACUAUUGAACAGGUCAUAUUGAAGAAAUAGUAGGGUGAUUAUAACCAAAGUGUAUUAAGGGUCGGACCUUGGCUUUUGAAUUUUGAUGAAAUCUCUCUGCCAUUUCUGAAAUUCCAAUUUUCCUUUAAGGAAAACGAUGACGACGAUGCCAAUCUAAUUCCCAUUCAAUUAAACCCUGAUCUCGAUCACAAUGCCAUCUACUGCCCAUAUAUCAAGUUAUUAUUUCCAUUCACUUUAAAGCCUGUUGUAGUUUUGGUUCAAUUUAAUAUUGCCAUUAAACAUCAUGAUUAAUUGACACAAUAUAGCAACCACACACAUGUCCUACUUUCUUUUGGGGUUGAAAACAUCACUGUAAAUGCAAAAGGAGAGAAGGUGAAGCCUUUCAAAUUCUCCACAUGCGAAAUGGUGCUGACAUGUCAGAUGGGCUGAUGUGGCAUACUAUGUUAGAAAAAUUAUAAAAAUAUUUUAAAAUUAAUAAAACAUAUAUAUACAUUUAGAAUAAAUCUGGACAAUGGUUAUCCAAAUUCAAAUGAAUUUGGACAAAACAAAUAUAGCCUUUAUACCAAAGCAAUUAGUUUUAUAUUAGAGGUAUUAGAGUUUAGGUUCUAUUUUGUUAAUCUACUUAUACAUGUUAUCUAAUAUGUUAAUUUUGUCUCAAAUUCAAAAAUAAUUGGUGCUCAAAAUGAUUCAAACCUAAGAUGACAUAAGUUUGAGAUGACCCUAUUUGAAAAACUUAAAUGGUGGUAAUCCAAAAUGGCUCAAACAUGAAACAACUUAAACCCAAAAUUGACCCGAACCAUAAUGACUCUCUAUUUAUAGCAGUAACAGAAAGGCAAAAUAGUAAAUAUGAAAGGGAAAAAGAGUAAAAAUCGUAGGGUUACCAUUUCCGUGCAAUAGUAAAAAAUAUAUUUUGUUGCCAAAAUUUUCGCAACCGUCAAAAAUCGAAAAAUGUUUUAAAGAAAUUAUUUUUUGAAAAAUAAUAUUGAUUAAAAUUAGAGAUAAAUUAUGGAUGAAAAUAUUGAAUUAUUUCAAAUGAUGAAGAGCAACUUUAAUAAUGUAGAGGGACUGGGUCGGUGUACCGAGGAUGAUACUUCGAAGGCUACUCUCAGAAGAGUCGAUCUGUAGCUCAAGUGGUACCAUAUACCUCAACAAUUGACCUAUAUUCAAUAGGUUAAGGGUUCGAAUCUCAUCAAGGGUGAGACUCUCAUGUCGCCUCUUAGUGGUGAUUGCAAGUCCACAUACGGUCAAGGCACCCCUUUUUGUGAGUAGUACAUGGCUCUCCACGGAGUGGGGGACAAAACCCUCUCACAGGGGAUAAUACCUUCUGUUGUUGAGACACUGGAUCGGCAUCCUCAAAGACGGCACUUCAAAAACUUCUCUCGAAUAAGCCGUCCCCAUUAACAAAUAAAUAAUUACUCUACACAACCGUAUUCUAUCUUUUAAAAUUAUUAUUUUGUCCCUUAAGAUAUCCAUUAAUCUUUUUAUGUAUUUCUAAUAUACAUGCUAUAUAUAUAGUAAAAUGAUAUAUAUAUAUAAUCUACACUAAAUAUGAGAAGAUUAUAAAUAUAAUAAUCUAUAAUUACUAAUGAAAAUUUUGGUUUGUACCGUUCACAUUGGCCGAAACAUGGUACACCUACUACUGCUGCAUUAAUAAUGUUAAAAAAUAUAAAUAUUUUAACUAUUUUCUAUUAGACUAAAUAUUUAAUUGAAAUGUAUUGACCAAUAAAAAAAAUAUUACACUAGAAAGUAAAAUUUAACAUUUAAAAUUUUUUUUGGAGCAUACUUUUUCAUGUAAAAUAUAAAAAUUAAAAUAUAAUAGAAAAAAACCCACUCACCUCAUUAUCAUACAGCUUUUCUUAUUGAAAAAACCCCCCACAUCCUUCAAUUUCUUUUUUUCUUCUUAAUUUUGAAUUUUUUGAAUGAUGAGUUUUGUAUUUACUGUGGUUGUUUUAUUAAUAAAAUUAUGUUUUGGAUUGAGAAAAAAAAUUAAGAAAUUCAAAACACAAAAACGAAAGUAGAGAAAGUGAACACAAUAAUUUAUGUGAUUCGGAAUAUUUCCUACAUCCACGGAUAGAACCAAAAAUAAAAUUCACUACUAAAAAAUGGAGAUUACAAAGGAAUUACAUAAUAAAAUAAAAUAACUCACCACAAUAACUAUCCACAAACUUUGAGCAAUCUUCUAAAUAAGCAUCAACUAUACACUUUCCACAAAUUGAAAAAUACUGGCAAUAAUAAAUAACAAGUGACCAACAAUCUCAAAAUGUCAAAAACAAUACUUUAUUUCAAACAUCCUAACCUCUUAUCAAUCAUCAAUGGAGGCCUAAGAUAAGUUGAUUUGUGUAGAUAGAAAUAGAUGAUGCUAAAAGCAUUACAAAAAAAAAAACUUACCACUCCAUUCCUUUUGUCAACAUCUGUUGACCAACGACGUUGUGCUGUUGUUGUGCCCAUAAGCAGGUAUUGCCCUCUUUGGAUGCCCACCAUUCAAGGGUUUAACACCCAAAGAUACGUACACCUCCCCAGUGGUACCAUUUGGCCUUUUAUCUGCCACCAAUUUCAUGGUUCCCAAAGUUGAAAGAAAGUACAAGGCUAAAUAAAUAGCAUAUUUGGCUCCUCAACUACAACUUUGUACCAAGCACCAAAAUAUGAUCCAACACCGGAAAGGAAUGUCAGAAGAACAAAUUCUCCAUAUAACCUAUACUUGCCCUAUCAAAAACAUUAAUAACAUCACAGUUGAAGCCCUUCAAAGCAGGGGAAAUUCAUAUAAAGAUUGGUAGAAAAUAUGCCAAUCUACUGGACCGAAAAGCUGAAAAACAACAUUAAAAGAGAGUGGAUAUAUAUCAUUUGAUUCAUUUAACUCAUACCUCAAAGUCAAAAGCAAGAGAGUCGAUAUAUAGUGAGUCACUUAGUCACUGCUAUUUUUGGGAACACUCAGGCUGGAAGUGAAAACCCCAAAUUGCAGCUCAGUGAACUCUGUUGUGUUUAUGUUAAAUUGAGCUCUCUAAUGCCAUGUUGUAACGUGUACUGUAUCCCUCCAUUCAUCCUGAAAGGAUCAAUACCAUGUCUACAGUGAUGACGAAAUCUGUUGGCACUGAUAUCCUUAUGCAAUAACAGAAAUCUAUCCACAAAGAUCAACAAACUAUCACGUAAAAGACUUGUUCUUCUGAAACACCAUUGGUUAAUAGUACAAUGAAAUCUCAAAUAUUUUUAACUAAAAUCCCAUUCCCAUAUACCAAUUUCAUAGCAACUGCUUAGAAAUUAGAAGAUGCAGAUGAAAACAGAACAUUCAAUUUGCAGAAUAAAUGUUGCAGAGAUUUGACUAACCGCUUUACUAAAUCAAAUAAGCUGAAGCAGACCAGUUGAAGGUCUCCUCUAUGUUUCGCCAGUUUAGCCUUCAAUGCCUGCAAAAAGUAAAUACAAAAUAUAUAACACCGAUUUCUAUUAUCGUGUUGUUGAUGAGGACAGUCAGAUAUAUAUAAAGAAAAGGUAAUGAAAUUGAUAAAUGUUUAAAAUGCGUUUCGCACCUAUGGUUUGAGUGUGGAGAAAUCGAUGCUAGAUUUUGCUGCUUAAAUUUCAAUAUAAUUCCCUCGGGUUGACUAUUUCACCAUCAAUUCGAACAUAAGGUAUGUGGGCAAUCUUGGACCACUCUCGUCCUUUACCCCUACUGCACCCUUUUUCUAGCAACGGGCAAUCAUAAAUAGAUAGAGGCUCAAGCGAGAGAAGCAUAUCUUUUUCCGAAAGAGAUGUGAGCUUAGGACAAUCAUCGAUUCGCAAUUUUUGAAGAGAGGUCAGGUAUUGAAAGCCCUUGGAGCACAUGAAUUCCAAAUUCUCAAAAUUUUUAAUGGAAAUAGAUGUGAGAGAAGGAGGCAGCGUCAUUCCUAUCCCUUCUUCUGGAAACGACACCACAUUUGAGCAUCCUUCACCGCUGAUGUUGAGUUGCUGAAGAGAGGUGAGUCUGUUAAAUCCCCAUUGAACAAGUGAUGUAUAAAUUUUGGGUGCGUUUGAGAUUGCAAGUGAUGUGAGGUUGGCAGGGAAACCCUCUUCUGGAAAGGAUAUGUCAGCCGAACAAUAAGACACCUUUAAUUCUCGAAGGGAGGUGAAGUUGUUGAUGCACUUGGGAAGGACUCCAAAAUUUUCACAAUUCUUAAUUGCGAAAACUCUGAGAUUUGUGGUGGGCAACCCACUUUCUUCAAAUGAAACCAGAUUUGGACACAAUUUUAAUCGAAUCUCUUGAAGAUGGCUGAGCUUGUCUAAUCCCCGCGGUAAUGAUUUAAAUUUUCCAGCACCCGAAAUACGAAUGCUUUCGAGAUCAGUGGUUUCAAGGAAGUCUUGGGAUAUGCAUUCCAACACUGGACAAUCCCGAAUAAAUAGCUUUUUAAGCAUUACGGGUAACUUGGCGUUUAAAAAUAACCUACUUAGCUUUGAACACUCCAUAAUUUGGAGAUGUUGAAGCCGAUUGCAUAUAUCGCCCCUUGAUGAUAACCAUAUUAGAGAUGGACAGUAGGUUAUUUGCAAGCGCUCAAGAAGACAAGUGUUGCUACUCAUACUCAUACUCUUAUUAUUAUUUUCUUUUUCAUCAACCAAAUAUUGCAAAUUCUCGCAAUUCCCAAUCCACAGCUCUUUUAAAGCAGGAGGAAAGUUACUCUCUGCAAAAGAAACCAAGCGUGGACAGCUUUCAAGUUGCAUGGUUGUAAUGAAUGGGAAAGCAUGUAAGGCUUCUGGUAGUCUAUUGAGCCUUUCACAAUUAUUUAUUACCAGAGAUUCAACACCCGGAAUCUUAUCAAGUUGCAAUCUCUCCUCUCUGUUUCCAAAGAGACCAAUUGCGGACAAUUCUCAAUCGUGAUGAAACGAUGCCCGCCUAAUCUUAACCCAAUUUCCGAUAAAGAUCCCAACUCUUUCCAACCAGGGAUGUAGAAUGUUUCGGAGUUUGCAAAUCUCAACAUUAUCCUCUCUGCUGAAAUAUUAACAUUUGAAAUAUUUGACAAACACAUCUUUCAAGGAGGUAACCUUCUGUACAGACAAAGAACCUUCAUCCACCAAUUCUUCACACCCUCCAACCGAUAAUUCACACAGCAAGGGAAAACUUGAAAUUGAAACUACCAGUCUCUUACACUCGUAGAUUUCAAUUGUCUGCAAGGAUUGAAGGAUGGUUGGCAACCUUCCCAGCAAUAGAGGACAUUCUCUGACUGAAAGAAAACGAAGGCUGGGGAAUUUCGAUACUUGCUCAUCAUCUUCACAUAGGUCCCACUCCUCCCAAUUCAGCAUAUUGUCAAAACGCAGAGACUCUAAUGAUGCAAAAGCAUUUGAUUGAUUUUCUCCAAACAGCUCAGCACCAAUCUUNNNNNNNNNNNNNNNNNNNNNNNNNNNNNNNNNNNNNNNNNNNNNNNNNNNNNNNNNNNNNNNNNNNNNNNNNNNNNNNNNNNNNNNNNNNNNNNNNNNNUCCAAACGACUAAUUGAAAGAUCUUUUAACAACAACAACCUUCCAAUCGAUGGUAGAGAUUUGCAGUUUUUACAGUCGUGAAGCUUCAAUGACAACAUAUUUUUGAAGGAAGGAUCUGCAAUCCAAGUAGAGAAUUUUGUACCACCAUAAUUCUCAAUGACGAGUUGCUCAAGCUUUUUUGGAGGACAAAGAGAGUCCAACACCCGUUCUUCAACUUCUUUAUUCCUUGAAGCAUUUUCAAACUUUUUCCUCCAAUGCAAUACCAGUCGAUCAAUCCCCUGCUUCUCAUAUAACUUGCUUUCCCCUGCAUCUUCACCAUUAACAUUCUCCAACCCAGAAAGACGGAAAUCACCUUCGAGGUUUGACAAAUAUUUCAAAUAUCUAAUAUGACAACCAUCACCUUCCGCUAUGAUAAAAUCAGAUAACCUUUGAAGAUUCUUUAGCUUAUCAAUUCUAAAAGGAAUCCUUUCUAUUGAGUUCGCACCUCUGAUAUCAAGAUAAUGCAAGUUGACAAGAUUUCCCAUCUUUGAAGGUAACCUUUGAAGCUUGUAACACCACCUUAAUAAUAAGGUUUCUAAAUGGUAAAGAGUGCACAAAGAAUCUGGUAGGCAUUCGAUUUCUGUGCCCGAAAAAUUUAAGUAACGAAGAUGUUUUAAAUUUUCAAAAACAUCAGGCAACUCAGUGAUGGCAUACCCACUCAAAGAAAGCACCCUUAAGUAGCCAAGUCUUGGCAAUAAAUCAACCAAAACAACAUUAGUUAAAUAAUGCCGCCAAUAAUCACUAGAAAACGUUAAGGGUAAAAAAGUACGUAAAGAAUUCACUUGAUCAAAUGCUUCAAACUUCUUCACUGUGUCAUAUGUUCCAACAAUAUAAGAAGAAUGUCGAGUGCAAUGUGAGAACUUCCAUUUCUUAUCACCCUCUAAUUUUGAGCAUAUUUCCCCUGCAACUACUUGAGCUAAAUCAUUGAUAAGGUCAUGCAUUACGAAUCGGGACUUAUCUUUACUGGAUGUCUCAAAAAAUGACCUGGACACUAGAUCUUGAAAAUAUUGAUUUCCGAGAUCUUUAAUUUGAGGCAUAGCUUUUUGUUGCAAGAGACCUUCUGCUCUCCAUAACAAGAUAAUUUCUUCUUCCUCAAAUUCAUAAUCUUUAGGAAGUAUGGAGCAAUAUGCAAAACAUCGUUUCAAGUCUGACGGAAGAUGAUGGUAGCUUAAUCGCAAAGCUGGAAUUAUGCCACACUGCUCUUCUGGUAAGUUCCAUAUCUCACUCUCAUAUAUUCUUUCCCAUCCUGCAUAGUCUUUAACUGUGCGUAGCAAGCUUCCAAUGGCUUUUGCAGCCAAAGGUAAGCCAUUGCACCUUCUAACAAUUUUCUCUCCAAUUUCUUUAAACUGGAGAUGUCCAUCGAAAUUUCUUGCUUUUAAUGCAUGCUGUGUAAAUAUGGAUAAACAAUCAUCAUCCGAUAGUUUAUCCAAAUGAAAAGCUUUGAGCGGAUCCACAAUAGAUGAAACAAUUCGAAGACGAGUGGUUACAAUGAUAUGGGUCCCUGUUCCAAACGGAGACCGUAAGAUGGUCCAAUCAUCAUAAUUCUCGUUCCAAAUGUCAUCUAAAACAAGCAAGAAUCUUUUCCCAGACAACUUCUCCUUCAACUUAACUUGAAGUAAAUUCAAGUCAUUCUCGUCACGAGAGUCAGGAUCGAUGGAUUUUAAAAUUGUCCUGGUUAUAUUAACUGCGUCAAAAUGAUCAGAAACGCAUACCCAGGCCUUGUGGUGAAAAGACUGGUUGAUGGUGGCAUCAUUGUAAACAAGCUGAGCAAGAGUUGUUUUACCCAUCCCUCCCAUGCCGACGAUGGAAAGGACUGAAACUCCGUUGGAGUUAUCACCUUCGAGAAACUCAAUCAUUUCUGUCUUCUCCUUGUGUCUGCCAACAUACUCCACAACUCCAUCCAGUACGGAAGUUGGUUGCAGCCUAGGUUGCUUUCCCUUGGAGGUUGGAGCUUGAGACAAGAUCUCACUCAACCCCAAACUACUUCUUCGAGUAGUCAAACUAUUCAGUCUAGCAGUGAUCUCUUUCACCUUCGGAAUCAUGGAAUUCUUAAACAGGAAAGAAGUGGGACUGAAAUUACUACUGGUACAGCAGGUAGGAAUGAGUUUCCGUACCUUGCUAGUGCUGGCUAGAGCUUGCGAUUUGUUGAGCUUGAGACGUAACUCUUCAUAAGCGAACUCAUCCAAGAUGUCAUCCACAUCGUAAGCCAAGUCCUGGAGAUCCUCCAACCAUUUCUUCACACCCAUAUUCUUGAUCUGCUUCUCCUCUGCAUCGUCCAACACUGCUUGGAUAUCAGGCAAUAUGGACUGCCACUGCUUGAGCUGCUGGUGGAGUUGGUUGUGAUUAGCAACAAAUUUGAGUGCAGAGUCGAGCGAUUUGCCCAACAACAGGUCCAGGAACCCAGAAAGAGCAGCCUCUCCAAUGACAGACAUGGUGGAAUUAUGAGAAAGAAGAUGAAGAGAGAAAUGAACAAAGCCAAAAUGGAAAGUCAGGGAACAAAAAAAAGAAAGAAAGGGAAAUGGAAUCUGCAAAAUUAGAGAAAGUUGAAGAAGUUGGCACUAUUUUUUAAGCAUCCAAUAAUUCAGACUACGAGUUGGGAAGGCAGUGGAUUGUGAAAAAGAGGGACCCCAAGUGGUUGUUGAUCGGGAAAAGACAACGAAAGUGGAAAUUUUUCAUCUAUUUUAAUCAUUAAAUUUAUAUAUUUUUUAAAUCACUUUAAAAUAUAUAGAAAACUUUUAUACAAGAUCAGUUAAAAACAUUAAUUUUUUAUUUAUUUUGAGGUGAUAUAAUAAAAAAAUACAAAUUUAACAGAUAAGUAUUUUUCAUAAAGUUAGAUAGCUAAAUCUUUAUGUAUUUUUUUUACGAGACCAAAGUGAAUUAAAGGGUUUGUAACUCUAAAAUAGAUGUACGUUCUUAUAGCUUCAUGCACUAUUAGUUAGAAUGCAUCCAACACAAAUCUUAAGAUUGAAUUAAAUUCUGGAAAAAAUACUAAUACAAAUAAAAAUAUUAAAAUUUAGAAUAAAAAUAUUGAUGUGACAUUAAAUUAUUAAAAACGGAUACAAAUGUCAUUGUAUCUCAAUUUUAUACUAUCAUUCCUCCAAAAUAAUUAUAUUUUUACAUCAUGUUUUUAUAAUAUAUGAUGUGAUCAUAAAUUAAACUCUUAAUUAUAGUGAUUAAUGUUCCAUUUUUGCAACUAAAAUCAAUAAAAAAUGAAAUUAAUAAAUUGUAUUUUUUAUUGGAAAACAUCUUUAUAUUAAUUAAUUAUGAGAAAACCUUUUUUAUGGAGAAGUGUGUUUAUACUAAUUAUAUUAUAGAAAAGUAUGUUUGAUAAUAGGCCCAAUUGAUAUAUUUAUUGGGCUUAAUUUUAAUAAGUUCUUUAAUAAGAUGUGAUUAAUUUUAGAUUUAUUAUUUGAUUUUUGAUUCGGUAUAAAAAUAAACUCAAAAAGUGAAAAAGAGUCGGAAAUACGAGUUAUCGUAAAAGUUUUGGAUUGAAGAACUAGAUGGACCAUGAUCUAUCUUUUGAAAACUUUAUUUUGGGAAUUUAUUAGUAAGAAAUAACAGUACUUUUAUUUUUUUAUUAGGAUAAUGUUUUAAUAUUUUAGUAUUAUUUAGAUAACCCUAGAUUAAAGAGUUUAAGUAGGAUGAGGCAUUUUGAGUUUUAAUAAUAUUUUUUAUGUAUAUUAUACUUUUUUGUUUUGGGCAGAAAUCGAUUGCAAAUGGAAUUUCUUUUCUUCUAUAUUUCUAAUUAUGUUCUUUCUUUUUCUAUUGUAAAAUAUUUCGCCGCCACGCCACCUUCCCAUUUUUUCCCUUAUUUGUUUGUUUCUUUUAUUUAAUUCUUGUUGAAUUAUUAGAUGUAUGUAAAUUUCAGGUAAAACCGAAUUAAUUUGGUUAACGGACUGAAUUCAAUUAAUCAAACGGUUAAUCGAAUUAAUUCAGUCAGAAAUUAAUUAAUAAUUUUUUGAAAGUUUAGUUAACGGUUAAUUAGAUAAUUAUUGAAGUGAACAAAGACAAAAUGGAAACCCAGGGACUAUAAUAGAAAGAAAGAGAGAUGGAUUCUGUGUAAUUAGUGAAAGUUGAAGAAGUUGGCACAAAGGUUUUUUUUAGCAUCCAAUAAUUCAGGCUAUCACUUGGAAGACAUUGGAUUAUGAUAAAGAAGAUGGACCCCAAGUGGCUGUUGAUGGGAAAAGACAAUGAAAGUGGAAAUUAAAGAGGUCCCAGUCCAUUAAAUUAUUGCACCCUCCCAUUUUUUCUGUCCCCGCAGUUAAUUUGUAUAGCUUUUCUUUUAGGCAUAAUGAUCACUCCUAAUUUGCAUAAAAAAUAAUUUUAACUCUUAAAUUUAUUUUACUACCAAACCACUCUAAAAUAGACCCACAUACAUGUGAAUUAUCAUCUAGAAGAUACAUCAACAUCUAAUUGAUUUUGAAUUUUUUUUUAAAAUUUAUUUUUUAACAAUAAAUUUUAAUUUUAAAAAAAAGUUUUUGUAGUUUUUUUAUUUUUAAAAUUUUUAAAAAAAUAAUUAAGUGAACGUUAGUAAAGUUAAAAAAGUUACAAAUUUAAGGGCUAAAAAAUAAAAAUUUAAAUAGAGAACUAAAAUAAUUUUUUUUAGUUGAAAAGUUAAAUAAACUAUUAUGUCUUUCUUUUAUUGGACCAAAAUGAAUUAAAGUGUCUGUAAUUCUGAAAUGGAUGGACUUAGUAUUUGGAUACAUUAUUAUUUUUACUGGAGAUCAGGAAUAGAUGGAUUUUUCAUGGGCCCAUUUAACUGAUAGGUUUUAUUACCACUUUAGCAACUUUGGUGAUUUAGUCAGUUACUCGAGAUUCGUAAUUAUUUUAUUUAUUGAUGCUAGCAAUGUACAGUGGUCAAAUAGGAUCAUUUCUUCUUAAAACCUUUUAUUUUUUUCAUCAUGUGGGAGUUUGAAUUAAUUCUCAUUUAUCUACUUCUAUCCAUGAUGGGGAAGAAACGUCUAUACUCGGCUACAAAAUUUAUUUUGUACACUGCAGGCGGUUCGGUUUUUCUAUUAAUAGGAGUUUUGCAUCCCAGUUUAUACGGUUCUAAUGAACCAACAUUAAAUUUUGAAAUAUUAAAUAAUCAAUCAUAUCCUAUAUUGAAUUUCUUAUUACUUUUGCUCUCAAAUCGUUGAUUAUAUACUCUUACAUACAUGGUACUAUAUAAAAAAAUUCAAUAAAUAAAAAAUGAAUAAAAUUAUUAAAUAUUAAAAUAAUAUAAUAUAAAUAUUUAAAAAAAUUAAAAAUAAUAUGGACAUGGCUAAAAUAGGUUUGGAUUAAUAUUUUGUAAAUAUAGGCAGGCUUGAGCAACAUUUUAGGAUCAAAUUUCGGGCUGGGUCGGGCUUAGAUAAACAUAAAGUAUAUUAAUAUCAUAUUUAGACCCAACCAGCCCAUGAAUAUAUCUAGUAACAGGGACCUUUGUUUUUGAAUUUUGUCAUAGCUUUUGUCCAUUGUCCCUAUUUCCAAGUAAAAUGAACGUUGAGCUCCAUGUCAAUGGCAUCAAAAUAAUUAUUUCCAUUAACAUCAAAAAUUUCCAUGUCAUGCCUAUCUAUAUCGUGUUGUGCAUGUAUUGUGUGUGAGCUUUUUUUUCGCCCUGUUUUUGAAGAAUCAUGUUGGUGCUUCCUAGUAUUUUAAGUAAUGGGUGGAGACAGAAAAAUUGAAGUGGAGUAGUAACUUGGAAGAAGCCAUGUUAGUUGGACCAGUUUUUUUUCUUUAAUGGCUUGGAUUAUAUGGAAUUCAUUUUACAAAGAGUUGAGCUUUUAUUAAUGGGAAGCAACCAUGGUGGUUGGUUCCGCACCAUGGUUUCAGUUGUACCUGCCAGUGCCACUGUUCCAGUGAUACAGCACAACAACAAGGAAUACAUUUUUCCACAUCGGUGAAAAUUUCAGUCUGUUCUGUUUACAUUGGCUCAUUUCGAUCAAUUCAAGUUGCACCGACCGAAACAUGAUGCAUUGGCUGUUACAUGAAUAAUUUAAAAAAUGUAAGUUUUUAAUACCUAGCAAUAAUAAUUAACUAGAGACCAACAUUUGUUUUUACAAUCUCGAAAUGUCAAAAACAAUACUCUAUACAAAACAUCAUCAAUGGAGGACUAAGACAGGUUCAUGAUUUGUGUAGAUAGAAAUAGAUUACACUAAAAGCAUUAGAAAAAGAACUUAUCACUCCAUUCCUUUUGUCAACAUCUGUCGACCAAAGAAGUGCUGUUGUUGUGCCCAUAAGCAGGUAUUCUCCUCUUUGGAUACCCACCAUUCAAGGUUUUUCACCCAAAGGUACGUACACCUCCCCAGUGGUACCAUUUGGCCUUUUUUAUCUGCCACCAAUUUCAUGGUUCCCAAAGCUGAAUGAAAGUACAAGGCUAAAUAAAUAACAUAUUUGACUCCUCAACCACAACUAUGUACCAAGCACC
This 26595-nucleotide long non-coding RNA is filed under the name Gossypium raimondii (Peruvian cotton). RNAcentral describes it as "long non-coding RNA (GRAI_LNC005995)". Lineage: Eukaryota; Viridiplantae; Streptophyta; Magnoliopsida; Malvales; Malvaceae. The record is from RNAcentral.